Equus asinus (donkey) is the source of this 2476-nucleotide long non-coding RNA. The record is from Ensembl. Lineage: Eukaryota; Metazoa; Chordata; Mammalia; Perissodactyla; Equidae.
CGGGAGUACUGGGGUGCGCGGGGGUCCCAGGGUGCACGUGGCAUACUGAGGUGCAUGGGGGCCCGGAGUGCACCUGGGUCCCGGGCUGCAGGUGGGGUCCCGUGGUGCAGGUGGGGUACUGUGGUGCAGGUGGGGUCCCGGGCUGCAGGUGGGGUACUGGGGUGCGGGGGUGCUGGGACACACGAGGUACGGACGGUGCUCGGGGGGUCCCGGGAUGCAGGAGUCUCCUGGGGUCGGGGCUGGUCCCGGGGCUCGUGCGCACGGCGCAAGUCCCAACCCGGGUCGCGAGCCCGGGGGUCCCCGCGCCUCAGCGCCCCGCCCGCCGCGCUCUCCGGCCCAGCGGCGAAAACGCUGGGCACCGACGCAGGGGGAAAAGCAUCGGGCCGCGCGGGCGGGCAGGCGCACUGACCGAAGCCGCCCCGGCGGGCCAGGCGCACGCGCGCACCCAGCCGGAGCCCCAUGGGCCGACGCCGGGCAGGUGCCUGAGCGCGGCCGGCGCCCCGCCCCCCUCCGGCCCCCUCCCGCCGCCGCCGCGUGCACGGGGCGGGGCCUGCUCUGCGGAGUGGGCGGGCCUAUACCGAUGAGUGGGCGGGGCCCCGCGCCGGCGGGGGCAUUAGAGGCGGCCGCCGGCGGGUGGGCGGAGCCUCCACGCGCGUACGCCGUGCUGGCCACGCCCCCUGCAGGAGCCCCGCCCCCGUGCGCGCCUGCCUGCUCCCCACGCGACGCCGGGCUCCGGGCGGCAAAGGCCAGCGGCCGCGACCCGAGCAGCGGCUGGAGGUUGGCCUCUGCCGGGGGCCGGCGGCCCAGCCGUUCGGGGUCCCCACCCCCGGGCCGUCCCCCGCCGAGCCCGGCUGGAGCCCUGGCUGUGACCCGCCUGUGACCCUGAGCGGGUGGCUGGCCCCGUCUCCCUCCGGACCGGCCGCGUGUGUCCGCAGUGGGGACCCGCGGUGACCGGGCCCGGGCUCUGCAGCAGGUGGGCGGCGGCGGGGGCAGGACGUCCCCUGCAGCCCUCCCUCCGCGGUCUGGGCAGCCCUGGCUGGACGGGCGCCGGGCCGGGAGCGCGCGGGCUAGGCGUGUCCCUCCGGGGCCGUCUGCUGGUCACCUGACUCGUGCGGCUGGUUCCAGACCCGAUGGUCCCGCCGGGCGGCACGGGCCGGGGGACAGUCCUCGCCCCGGGAAGGGCCUUCAGACUGCGGGGUCCGAGCUCCCUCAUUUGAGUCCCCGAGCUUUGCAUGGGGUGGUGAGAAGGGGUCAGAGCCACCUGCCCCCUGGGUCCUGUUGGCUCCCCCUGAGCCUGGGCGCGGUCAGGGGCUGCACGCUGGCAGGGGCCUGCAGUGGCCCUGCGGCUGGACAAACGCUGGGAUGGCCUGGUGGUGCAGCAUGAGGCACGAGGGGGCUGGGUGGGAGCUAUUUCAGGUAGAAAAGGGAGUGGCAGCAGGAAGAGACCCAAAGUGGGUGAGGCCUGAGCCCCUAGGCGUCCCUGCAGUGAGUGCCGGGGGCACGUCGGGAUGCAGCUCCUGGGUGCCAGGCAGAAGCCUCCAUGCGGGUUCUGGGCUGGUGAGGUAGGUCCUGUAAAGGCUUGGAGCCGAGCCCCCUGUCUCCAGGACUGGCGGGAAGAGGUGCCCUGCCCUCUGAAGAGCAGACCCACAGCCUGGCAGGUGCAGGGAGCGCAGCCAACAACAGGUGGGGCUGUGGGAGAGGCACAGGGGGUUGGGGGCGGAGCACGUUCCAGCGCGCAGGGCCCCACAGGCCUCUGCACUGCCAUCUUUAAUCCCUGCCCAGUGUCCAGGGUGCUGGCCGGGUUACCCAGGACGAGAGCAAGACUCACACCUGGGGGCACCUGUGCAGGGCAGGGGGAGCUGGGUUGUCUUUCCUGGCCCAUCUGGACCCCUGACAACCAGCUCAACAAGGUCACCUUUGUGUCUGUCAAAAGCCUUGUGGCUGAUUAAGUUAAAUCCACCUGCCCCUCAGCCCUUAUUUGGAUAAUAAUAAUUAUUAUUGCCAUGUGUGGGAGGGUCAGAUCAGGGCCACGUUUCGUGUGGAACAUGCUGGAACAUGAGCUCAGCCCGCUGAGGUGUUGUGUCCUGAGAGCUGGGCCCGCAUUGGCUGGGCGCCCAGUUGUCACAGCUCUGUUCAUCAGGCCCCUGCUGGGACCAGCCCGCGGGAAGGCAUUGGAAUCACGCCCAUCUUGUAGGUGAGGAAGCUGGAGCUCAGGGCCGAGGGGCUUGUCCCCCCAGGCAGAACGCGCACUUGUCAGCGCUGUGCUGGCCUCUGUCCUCCCUGUGCCAGGACCUCUCAAGGCCCUGAGGACAUACGCUCCCUGCCCCCUGUGGGUGGAGACAAGCACCCCCUAACCCCCACCCGAGUGGCCAGGAACCAGCAUAAGAGGUGUGUGGCAGGCACCUUCCAGGAGGAGGGGCUGGAGCUGUCUCCGUUGGUCUCAAGGACAGCCGGACAGCAGGGCUGUCAAUGGGAC